Molecule: ribosomal RNA, 305 nt
Filed under: uncultured bacterium
Lineage: Bacteria
Description: bacterial SSU rRNA
Rfam family: Bacterial small subunit ribosomal RNA
Source: RNAcentral
CCCUCCGGGCGGCCGCCGUGCGGCCUCUUGGUCCCUGGGCGCGCUCCUGCCCCCGCCCAGCCUCUUGAGGGAAGACGGCCCUAUGGGUUGUAAACCUCUUUUGUCGGAGAACAAAACCCGGGACGUGUCCCGGACUGCGUGUAUCCGAAGAAAAAGCAUCGGCUAACUCCGUGCCAGCAGCCGCGGUAAUACGGAGGAUGCGAGCGUUAUCCGGAUUUAUUGGGUUUAAAGGGUGCGUAGGCGGUCCGUUAAGUCAGCGGUAAAAUUGCGGGGCUCAACCCCGUCGAGCCGUUGAAACUGGCAGG